This 1392-nucleotide long non-coding RNA is filed under the name Olea europaea subsp. europaea. The record is from RNAcentral. Lineage: Eukaryota; Viridiplantae; Streptophyta; Magnoliopsida; Lamiales; Oleaceae.
CUUUAAUGUUUACAUCAGUCACUCAAAUUUAAUAGAAAAAUUUAACUCUGUUUUAAGAUUAGCCAAACACUGUGAAAAGAUAGAGGGAAAAUCUGGAGACAGGACGACUGUGCAAAAAGAAAGGAGCAGAGGAUAUGGAAGUGCUAGCCGUUAAACCACACGCCUGCUUCUUUAAUUUAAAUCCCAAGGUGAAAAUAUUCACUCAAUUUUUUCCACACGCAGUGUUUGUUCUUGUUUCUCGUUAAUUUUCUGUAGUUUUUACUUGAACUGCUGAUUAAUAUGCUGCUAUAGUUGUUUAGCUUUUGCGAAGUAUGUUUUAAUCGAUGAAAGAGACCAAUUUCCUCACUAAUUGAAAUCUCACUUUUUGGGUACAGUACAGUUUUGAUGACAAAGUCUUUGGUUAGAUUAUAUGAGAUUCUUAUGGGGGCAUCAUACAGCAUUUGGCAUUUAUUGAGUUGCCUUUUCACUAAUUUAAGUGGUUAAUUAGAUGCUGGAUGAGCUUUAUUGUUGCAAUUAGUCUAGGAUAGAUAAAAUUAUUCAAUUGGAAGUGUGCAAAAGUGCUUAUAGAAGGUCAUUAUUUCAUUUGCUAGCUUCUCCUUUUGUACGGCUGUUUGUAUUUUGAGAAGUCUUCACUUAUGAUUUUAUGAGCAUCUAAUAUGGUGACUGAAGCUGCACAUAAAGCAUAGGAGCUCAUCAGGCAUGGAACUAUGACUUCACGGCUUCUGCAUUGCCUGUGCUUUAACCUAGAACUAAGCUUUUCAGCUGUUAAUGAUAUUUGUUCUUGUAAUCAAUCAUCCUUUGUAACUAAACUAAAAAGAUAAUUGAUAAAUCUUGGUGUUCACAGAUACAACUAUUUCUUUCAUUACUGCUUGAAUAGAAGCAAUCAUUCUUACCAAGGAGCACACACUUGACACAUUUUCAUAUUAACUGCGUGUCUAUCCUAUCUAUAAAAUGACUUCUUUCAUAAUUUCUUAUUUUAUUUGGUGGUUAUAUCUCGGAGUUUUAUUAUUGUGAAAUCAUCCCGUCCUCAUGGAAUUUCGAGUAUUUACUUUUUGACACCGUUUGGGCCUUCUUGCCACUGUAGUUGCUCUUUUCAGUUCAUUAGCAUUUAGUCCAAACUACAUGUAUCAACGUUGACUCAUUUUUGAUUUUUGAUAGCUUAUAAACUUGCUUGUUUGUUGAACAGAUCGUAACCAAGAAGCAAAUUGCAGAUGUCUUUAUCCAAUGCCCACAUUCUAGAAGAAAAUGCUUUUGUGUCAAUAUGGGAUAUGAACGACAGAAACUUCCUGGCAGGUGUUUCUUUCUCCCCAUUUUAAUUUUUGCAAGUCUAAAUUUAAUUUAUCUUUAAGUUUGUGGGUGUGGAUAGUUUAAGGCCCCAUUAACCAAAGCAUC